UGAAUCAGCGGAAUCGAACCCUGAGCCACCCGCUUGGCAAUUGGGCAUUCUACCACUGUACCACCGAUAC
Molecule: non-coding RNA, 70 nt
Organism: Cordylochernes scorpioides
Lineage: Eukaryota; Metazoa; Arthropoda; Arachnida; Pseudoscorpiones; Chernetidae
Source: the annotation of a GenBank genome assembly